GUUUAAUCCUAGCUCAGGACUAACGCCGGCGGAGUGCGUAAUACAUGCAAAUCGUACGCAAUGUCCCAAAUGAGGAACGCAGUUGUACCUGGUUGACGAUGGAUCACCAGUGAGCGGCGGAUGGGUGAGUAACACGUAGGUAACCUGCCCCGGAGUGGGGGAUAACAUUUGGAAACAGAUGCUAAUACCGGAUAACAACAAAAGCCACAUGGCUUUUGUUUGAAAGAUGGCUUUGGCUAUCACUCUGGGAUGGACCUGCGGUGCAUUAGCUAGUUGGUAAGGUAACGGCUUACCAAGGCGAUGAUGCAUAGCCGAGUUGAGAGACUGAUCGGCCACAAUGGAACUGAGACACGGUCCAUACUCCUACGGGAGGCAGCAGUAGGGAAUCUUCCACAAUGGGCGCAAGCCUGAUGGAGCAACACCGCGUGAGUGAAGAAGGGUUUCGGCUCGUAAAGCUCUGUUGUUGGAGAAGAACGUGCGUGAGAGUAACUGUCACGCAGUGACGGUACCAACCAGAUGACAUCC
This 525-nucleotide ribosomal RNA is filed under the name Limosilactobacillus reuteri. RNAcentral describes it as "bacterial SSU rRNA". It matches the Rfam family "Bacterial small subunit ribosomal RNA", at positions 11 to 495 of the family's 1533-position model. The record is from RNAcentral. Lineage: Bacteria; Bacillati; Bacillota; Bacilli; Lactobacillales; Lactobacillaceae.